This 379-nucleotide ribosomal RNA is filed under the name uncultured cyanobacterium. RNAcentral's name for it is "bacterial SSU rRNA". It matches the Rfam family "Bacterial small subunit ribosomal RNA", at positions 376 to 770 of the family's 1533-position model. The record is from RNAcentral. Lineage: Bacteria; Bacillati; Cyanobacteriota.
CGAAAGCCUGACGGAGCAAGACCGCGUGAGGGAGGAAGGCUCUUGGGUUGUAAACCUCUUUUCUCAGGGAAGAAGCUCUGACGGUACCUGAGGAAUCAGCCUCGGCUAACUCCGUGCCAGCAGCCGCGGUAAUACGGAGGAGGCAAGCGUUAUCCGGAAUUAUUGGGCGUAAAGCGUUCGUAGGCGGUUUUAUAAGUCUGCUGUCAAAGUGCGGAGCUCAACUCCGUAAGAGCAGUGGAAACUGUGAGACUUGGGUGUGGUAGGGGUAGAGGGAAUUCCCGGUGUAGCGGUGAAAUGCGUAGAUUUCGGGAAGAACAUCGGUGGCGAAAGCGCUCUGCUGGGCCGCAACUGACACUCAGGGACGAAAGCUAGGGGAGCG